GUGUCUGUAGCUCAGUUGGAUAGAGCAACGGCCUUCUAAGCCGUGGGUCGGGGGUUCGAAUCCCUUCAGGCACG
Molecule: transfer RNA, 74 nt
Filed under: Roseburia hominis
Lineage: Bacteria; Bacillati; Bacillota; Clostridia; Lachnospirales; Lachnospiraceae
Also listed under: 5 other names
Description: tRNA-Arg
Rfam family: tRNA
About the family: Transfer RNA (tRNA) molecules are approximately 80 nucleotides in length.
Source: RNAcentral